GUUCCUUGGAAAAGGACAGCUGAGUGGGUGACACUCCCGUCCGCCUGGUAGAAUGAGUCUUUGUCAACGAGUCGAGUUGUUUGGGAUUGCAGCUCUAAUUUGGUGGUAAAUUCCAUCUAAAGCUAAAUAUUGGUGGGAGACCGAUAGCGUACAAGUACCGUGAGGGAAAGAUGCAAAGAACUUUGAAAAGAGAGUUAAAGAGUACCUGAAAUUGCUGAAACGGAAGCGAAGGAAACCAGUGUUUGUUGGUUCAUAUUUCCCUUGUCACUUGUGAUGUGGGCGCUGUGAGCUUGCGUGGGUUUGCUUUGGUUGAUUCCUUUGGAAGAGCGCAGUCAGAGUUGAUGUCU
This 347-nucleotide ribosomal RNA is filed under the name Pseudo-nitzschia galaxiae. RNAcentral describes it as "LSU rRNA". It matches the Rfam family "Eukaryotic large subunit ribosomal RNA", at positions 185 to 544 of the family's 3401-position model. The record is from RNAcentral. Lineage: Eukaryota; Bacillariophyta; Bacillariophyceae; Bacillariales; Bacillariaceae.